Molecule: long non-coding RNA, 940 nt
Organism: Anas platyrhynchos (mallard)
Lineage: Eukaryota; Metazoa; Chordata; Aves; Anseriformes; Anatidae
Source: RefSeq, a predicted model, not a curated record
AGGAAGACUACUGGAAGGAACACCCUGCAUGACUGACUCCAGUUUCCUGCUAGCGCAGCCAGACAUGGGUAGGCUGAUGCAUCUCUGCUGACUACAACUGAAUUGAUCUUGCUUAGUCCAGCAUUUAAUUUGGCUUGCUACUGCAAAGGUGACAUGGGAACUGGAACAACUGUAAACCACUUCCAGGCACUUCUUACUGCACAGAGAAACUGCUGCUAUAAUAUUCUUCUGAUCCAUCUGAAGGACUUCUCCAUUCAUGUGAUUGAAUUUUUACACAGCUGUUUCUAAUUUUGCUAUCAAAUAUGUAAACGGUAGAAGGCUGAGAAAUUGAAUAGGUAUUCAUUUAGUACAAAAGAUAUAUAUUUUAUGCUUUAAAUUGGCCCCAAAUUUACAAUGAAUGAGAUUAGUUUUGCAUAUUGACUUUUUUAACUGUCCUUGGGUUCAGACAGAAGAGCCUUGUAACUCAAGCUAGUUUCGUCCAUGAUGUCUGCUGUUCUGGUUGUUUAUUUUAAUCCUACUGAUUGUAUUAACUUAUCCUAAGGCCUACCAAUAUUAAUGCUAGUUUAAUGUUGCCAACAAGUAGCAGUUCCUGCAGAGAUAUGUUACUGGAAACUGCUGUACCCAGUACCUUAUAAAAUUGAAUUAUUUUUCAUUGAGAACUAAUUUGGAGCAUAGGAGUAGGAAAGUGUCUUAACUGUAGUUGUGGUACUUGAGUUAAGAUUGCUAGAUAAUGUAGGAAAUUUUAAGUGCAUUGCUAAAGUUAGUGGCAAGAUACGUCUCUCCUAAUCCUAAUUUUGUGUCCAACCUAUGAGACCAUGUGAUUAUUGACAGUGGGAGAUUGCCACCACUUCAUUUUAAUUCUGGUUGGAAAUUACUGGCAACAUCUCUGCUAUGUGAAAUACAGAUGGUAAUAAACUGCCAGCUUGCUCACAUUUCCAAA